RNAcentral lists this ribosomal RNA (975 nucleotides) under uncultured bacterium. RNAcentral's name for it is "bacterial SSU rRNA". It matches the Rfam family "Bacterial small subunit ribosomal RNA", at positions 506 to 1504 of the family's 1533-position model. The record is from RNAcentral.
AUUCAGCAGCCGCGGUAAUACGUAGGCGGCAAGCGUUACCCGGAAUUACUGGGCGUAAAGAGUGCGUAGGUGGUUUUGUAAGUUUUCGUUAAAAUACGUCGGCUUAACCGACGGACCGCGGAAAUACUACAUAACUUAGAGGAAUUCAGGGGGUGCCGGAAUAGAUGGUGGAGUAGUGAAAUGCGUUGAUAUCAUCUAGAACACCCAAGGCGAAGGCAGGCACCUGGGAAUUUCCUGACACUGUUGCACGAAAGCGUGGGGAGCGAACCGGAUUAGAUACCCGGGUAGUCCACGCCGUAAACGAUGGACACUAGAUAUUGGGCUGGUGACGGUUCAGUGUCGUAAGCUAACGCGUUAAGUGUCCCGCCUGGGGAGUACGGCCGCAAGGCUAAAACUCAAAGGAAUUGACGGGGACCCGCACAAGCAGGGGAACGUGUGGUUUAAUUCGAGACAAAGCGAAGAACCUUACCAGGGUUUGACAUGUAAGUGGUAGGAACCCGAAAGGGUAACGACCCGCAAGGGAGCUUACACAGGUGCUGCAUGGUUGUCGUCAGCUCGUGCCGUGAGGUGUACCCUUAAGUGGGGUAACGAGCGCAACCCCUAUCAGUUGUUGUAUCACUCAACUGAGACCGCCUCCGUAAACCGGGGGAGGAAGGAGGGGACGACGUCAAAUCAUCAUAGCCCUUAUGUCCUGGGCUACACACACGUUACAAUGGGCGUUAACAAUGGGUUGCUACUUCGCGAGAAGAUGCUAAUCUCUAAAUACGCUCUCAGUUGGGAUUGUAGUCUGCAAUUCGACUACAUGAACGCGGACUUGCUAGUACUCGCAGGUCAGCACACUGCGGGGAAUACGUUCUCGGGUCUUGUACACACCGCCCGUCAAGUGAGCCGAGUCGGGGGUAGCUGAAGCGGCUAGAUAACUAGUUUCGAGGCUAAAUUCGGCAAGGAGCGCUAAGUCGUAACAAGGUAACCAAU